GAAAAUGAUGAGAUAUUUUGGAAUCUCGUUCGUCUGAACUGCUGUUGAGAAAUGGAAUAUCUGACUUCA
Molecule: small nucleolar RNA, 69 nt
Filed under: Sphaeramia orbicularis (orbiculate cardinalfish)
Lineage: Eukaryota; Metazoa; Chordata; Actinopteri; Kurtiformes; Apogonidae
Description: Small nucleolar RNA SNORD30 (ENSSORG00005001579.1)
Rfam family: Small nucleolar RNA SNORD30
About the family: U30 is a member of the C/D class of snoRNA which contain the C (UGAUGA) and D (CUGA) box motifs. U30 is encoded within the U22 snoRNA host gene (UHG) in mammals and is thought to act as a 2'-O-ribose methylation guide for ribosomal RNA.
Source: Rfam by way of RNAcentral